GACCCGUCUUGAAGCACGGACCAAGGAGUCUAACAUGUGCGCGAGUCGCUCGGUCUUGAACAGGCCUGAGAGGCGCAAUGAAAGUAAAGUUGAUUGAGUUACGAUCCUCACGCCGGUCAUCCGCGUUCGCGCGUGGGUGACGGUGGGGCGCAGUAGCAGCCCGCCAAUUUCGCUUAUUGUCGAUCUGGCGGAGUUGUAGCGUACACGUUGGUACCCGAAAGAUGGUGAACUAUGCCUGGGCAAGACGAAGCCAGAGGAAACUCUGGUGGAGGUCUGUAGCGAUUCUGACGUGCAAAUCGAUCGUCAGACCUGGGUAUAGGGGCGAAAGACUAAUCGAACCAUCUAGUAGCUGGUUCCCUCUGAAGUUUCCCUCAGGAUAGCAGACACUCGGUGAGAUCAGUCUCAUCCGGUAAAGCGAAUGAUUAGAGGCAUUGGGGUCGAAACGACCUCAACCUAUUCUCAAACUUUAAAUGGGUGAGAAGUAUGACUUGUUUGAUUAAAGCCAUACUCGUUCGGAUGUAUGAGUGCCUAGUGGGCCAUUUUUGGUAAGCAGAACUGGCGCUGUGGG
This 568-nucleotide ribosomal RNA is filed under the name Tecteremaeus incompletus. RNAcentral describes it as "eukaryotic LSU rRNA". It matches the Rfam family "Eukaryotic large subunit ribosomal RNA", at positions 646 to 1162 of the family's 3401-position model. Lineage: Eukaryota; Metazoa; Arthropoda; Arachnida; Sarcoptiformes; Arceremaeidae. The record is from RNAcentral.